UACGUAGGGUGCAAGCGUUGUCCGGAAUUAUUGGGCGUAAAGAGCUCGUAGGCGGUUUGUCGCGUCUGCUGUGAAAACGCGAGGCUCAACCUCGCGCCUGCAGUGGGUACGGGCAGACUAGAGUGAUGUAGGGGAGACUGGAAUUCCUGGUGUAGCGGUGAAAUGCGCAGAUAUCAGGAGGAACACCGAUGGCGAAGGCAGGUCUCUGGGCCAUUACUGACACUGAGAAGCGAAAGCAUGGGGAGCGAACAGG
Molecule: ribosomal RNA, 253 nt
Filed under: uncultured bacterium
Lineage: Bacteria
Description: partial 16S ribosomal RNA
Rfam family: Bacterial small subunit ribosomal RNA
Source: RNAcentral